UUCACUUAAGCAAGUAUUGUUUGUGAAUACGGGCGAAAGUGUUUUUAAUUGGGUGAUUUCAAACAGAUCAAAAUUCACCCAGGUACGCAGGUAAAGCCACGAGCUGACGCUAGUUCAUGUAACAGUGUCAAUGGCCAUCUUGACAUUAAAUGAUUUGCAAAUAAAAUAUUCAGGGUGAACUAGAUGCCUAAUGUAAUUUUAAUAUUCAUUGAUUGAGCGUUAUCUAUGAAGAUGAAACUGGACAUUCUAGUUUGGGCAUCCACCGCGGAGGUUUCGUGUCGUGUAAUAAAAAAAAGUAUUUAAAAAUGAAGUUACACAUUUUGGUAUUUGCUCUAGCAGUUCUUGUGUCAUGUGUGACUUGCUGGAAGGUGUUUCCACUGCCGAAUCAGCCAGUAUAUAAUACCCCUAGCCUCCCUGAUAUAACACCUACACGAACGAAUUCUGUAUAUGAAACUAGAGUUCCUUCGUUUGGUAUAAAUCCAACGAAAGUCGACAAAACUCCAGCCCUCUCAACCGGUGACGUCAAUGCACCUGCAAGAGAUCUGCUACCUCCUAAGGAAGGCCCAUCGGCAUAAAUACGAGUAAAUAUCUUAUACAUCCCAUGGGAGAGAUCGUCAAAACCAAGCAUACGCAGUUUCAAAGAGAGACCGUCAAGACCGAACUUAUAUUUAUAACUUUAAAAUUCACAUAAAAAAGUUCCCGUAUCAGCAGUCAUAGCAAUUAUAAUCACUUACGUCAUUAUUCCAACUGGAAACAUCGUAUAAUUAAUUCCACAAAUGCAUUACACAACCAGAUAUGCAGAUCAAUGGUUUUAUGGCGGUUAUAAACCGCCAAUCGAGUACAAAACUAUAAAUUAAAUAUAGUACAACUAAAAACUUUAAAA
Ostrinia nubilalis (European corn borer) is the source of this 883-nucleotide long non-coding RNA. RefSeq lists it as uncharacterized. NCBI's taxonomy places the organism in Eukaryota, Metazoa, Arthropoda, Insecta, Lepidoptera, Crambidae. The transcript is spliced from 2 exons. The record is from RefSeq and is a predicted model, not a curated record.